GGCUCUGGCUCCGUGUCUUCACUCCCGUGACUGUUCGAGGAGGGAGGGAGGGACGGGGGCUGUGCU
This 66-nucleotide microRNA precursor is filed under the name Octodon degus (degu). Its description in RNAcentral is "miRNA (ENSODEG00000022713.1)". The record is from RNAcentral. Lineage: Eukaryota; Metazoa; Chordata; Mammalia; Rodentia; Octodontidae.